RNAcentral lists this ribosomal RNA (374 nucleotides) under uncultured organism. Its description in RNAcentral is "bacterial SSU rRNA". It matches the Rfam family "Bacterial small subunit ribosomal RNA", at positions 526 to 896 of the family's 1533-position model. The record is from RNAcentral.
CAGAGGGGGCAAGCGUUAUUCGGAAUUAUUGGGCGUAAAGGGCGCGUAGGCGGCUUUGCAAGUGACGGGUGAAAUCCCUCGGCUUAACCCGAGGAACUGCCUGUCAGACUGCAUUGCUUGAGUCCGGGAGAGGUGAGUGGAAUUCCCAGUGUAGCGGUGAAAUGCGUAGAUAUUGGGAGGAACACCAGUGGCGAAGGCGGCUCACUGGACCGGAACUGACGCUGAGGCGCGAAAGCGUGGGGAGCAAACAGGAUUAGAUACCCUGGUAGUCCACGCCGUAAACGAUGAGUGCUUGGUGUAGCCGGGUAUCGACCCCUGCUGUGCCGAAGUCAACACAUUAAGCACUCCGCCUGGGGAGUACGGUCGCAAGACUG